GGUUAAGCGACUAAGCGUACACGGUGGAUGCCCUGGCAGUCAGAGGCGAUGAAGGACGUGCUAAUCUGCGAAAAGCGUCGGUAAGGUGAUAUGAACCGUUAUAACCGGCGAUGUCCGAAUGGGGAAACCCAGUGUGAUUCGUCACACUAUCGUUAACUGAAUACAUAGGUUAACGAGGCGAACCGGGGGAACUGAAACAUCUAAGUACCCCGAGGAAAAGAAAUCAACCGAGAUUCCCCCAGUAGCGGCGAGCGAACGGGGAGCAGCCCAGAGUCUGAAUCAGCUUGUGUGUUAGUGGAACGGUCUGGAAAGUCCGACGGUACAGGGUGAUAGUCCCGUACACCAAAAUGCACAGGUUGUGAACUCGAAGAGUAGGGCGGGACACGUGGUAUCCUGUCUGAAUAUGGGGGGACCAUCCUCCAAGGCUAAAUACUCCUGACUGACCGAUAGUGAACCAGUACCGUGAGGGAAAGGCGAAAAGAACCCCGGCGAGGGGAGUGAAAAAGAACCUGAAACCGUGUACGUACAAGCAGUGGGAGCACCUUCGGGUGUGACUGCGUACCUUUUGUAUAAUGGGUCAGCGACUUAUAUUCUGUAGCAAGGUUAACCGUAUAGGGGAGCCGCAGGGAAACCGAGUCUUAACUGGGCGUUAAGUUGCAGGGUAUAGACCCGAAACCCGGUGAUCUAGCCAUGGGCAGGUUGAAGGUUGGGUAACACUAACUGGAGGACCGAACCGACUAAUGUUGAAAAAUUAGCGGAUGACUUGUGGCUGGGGGUGAAAGGCCAAUCAAACCGGGAGAUAGCUGGUUCUCCCCGAAAGCUAUUUAGGUAGCGCCUCGUGAACUCAUCUUCGGGGGUAGAGCACUGUUUCGGCUAGGGGGUCAUCCCGACUUACCAACCCGAUGCAAACUACGAAUACCGAAGAAUGUUAUCACGGGAGACACACGGCGGGUGCUAACGUCCGUCGUGAAGAGGGAAACAACCCAGACCGCCAGCUAAGGUCCCAAAGUCAUGGUUAAGUGGGAAACGAUGUGGGAAGGCACAGACAGCCAGGAUGUUGGCUUAGAAGCAGCCAUCAUUUAAAGAAAGCGUAAUAGCUCACUGGUCGAGUCGGCCUGCGCGGAAGAUGUAACGGGGCUAAACCAUGCACCGAAGCUGCGGCAGCGACACUAUGUGUUGUUGGGUAGGGGAGCGUUCUGUAAGCCUGCGAAGGUGUGCUGUGAGGCAUGCUGGAGGUAUCAGAAGUGCGAAUGCUGACAUAAGUAACGAUAAAGCGGGUGAAAAGCCCGCUCGCCGGAAGACCAAGGGUUCCUGUCCAACGUUAAUCGGGGCAGGGUGAGUCGACCCCUAAGGCGAGGCCGAAAGGCGUAGUCGAUGGGAAACAGGUUAAUAUUCCUGUACUUGGUGUUACUGCGAAGGGGGGACGGAGAAGGCUAUGUUAGCCGGGCGACGGUUGUCCCGGUUUAAGCAUGUAGGCUGGUUGUCCAGGCAAAUCCGGAUAAUCAAGGCUGAGGUGUGAUGACGAGGCACUACGGUGCUGAAGUAACAAAUGCCCUGCUUCCAGGAAAAGCCUCUAAGCAUCAGGUAACAUCAAAUCGUACCCCAAACCGACACAGGUGGUCAGGUAGAGAAUACCAAGGCGCUUGAGAGAACUCGGGUGAAGGAACUAGGCAAAAUGGUGCCGUAACUUCGGGAGAAGGCACGCUGGUGUGUAGGUGAAGUCCCUGCGGAUGGAGCUGAGACCAGUCGAAGAUACCAGCUGGCUGCAACUGUUUAUUAAAAACACAGCACUGUGCAAACACGAAAGUGGACGUAUACGGUGUGACGCCUGCCCGGUGCCGGAAGGUUAAUUGAUGGGGUUAUCCGUAAGGAGAAGCUCUUGAUCGAAGCCCCGGUAAACGGCGGCCGUAACUAUAACGGUCCUAAGGUAGCGAAAUUCCUUGUCGGGUAAGUUCCGACCUGCACGAAUGGCGUAAUGAUGGCCAGGCUGUCUCCACCCGAGACUCAGUGAAAUUGAACUCGCUGUGAAGAUGCAGUGUACCCGCGGCAAGACGGAAAGACCCCGUGAACCUUUACUAUAGCUUGACACUGAACAUUGAGCCUUGAUGUGUAGGAUAGGUGGGAGGCUUUGAAGCGUGGACGCCAGUCUGCGUGGAGCCAACCUUGAAAUACCACCCUUUAAUGUUUGAUGUUCUAACGUUGGCCCCUGACCGGGGUUGCGGACAGUGUCUGGUGGGUAGUUUGACUGGGGCGGUCUCCUCCCAAAGCGUAACGGAGGAGCACGAAGGUUAGCUAAUCCUGGUCGGACAUCAGGAGGUUAGUGCAAUGGCAUAAGCUAGCUUGACUGCGAGCGUGACGGCGCGAGCAGGUGCGAAAGCAGGUCAUAGUGAUCCGGUGGUUCUGAAUGGAAGGGCCAUCGCUCAACGGAUAAAAGGUACUCCGGGGAUAACAGGCUGAUACCGCCCAAGAGUUCAUAUCGACGGCGGUGUUUGGCACCUCGAUGUCGGCUCAUCACAUCCUGGGGCUGAAGUAGGUCCCAAGGGUAUGGCUGUUCGCCAUUUAAAGUGGUACGCGAGCUGGGUUUAGAACGUCGUGAGACAGUUCGGUCCCUAUCUGCCGUGGGCGCUGGAGAAUUGAGGGGGGCUGCUCCUAGUACGAGAGGACCGGAGUGGACGCAUCACUGGUGUUCGGGUUGUCAUGCCAAUGGCACUGCCCGGUAGCUAAAUGCGGAAGAGAUAAGUGCUGAAAGCAUCUAAGCACGAAACUUGCCCCGAGAUGAGUUCUCCCUGAGACUUUAAGUCUCCUGAAGGAACGUU
This 2816-nucleotide ribosomal RNA is filed under the name Klebsiella pneumoniae. RNAcentral describes it as "partial 23S ribosomal RNA". It matches the Rfam family "Bacterial large subunit ribosomal RNA". Lineage: Bacteria; Pseudomonadati; Pseudomonadota; Gammaproteobacteria; Enterobacterales; Enterobacteriaceae. The record is from RNAcentral.